RNAcentral lists this ribosomal RNA (443 nucleotides) under uncultured bacterium. RNAcentral describes it as "partial 16S ribosomal RNA". It matches the Rfam family "Bacterial small subunit ribosomal RNA", at positions 338 to 795 of the family's 1533-position model. The record is from RNAcentral.
CCUACGGGUGGCAGCAGUGGGGAAUAUUGCACAAUGGGCGAAAGCCUGAUGCAGCAACGCCGCGUGAAGGAAGAAGGGUUUCGGCUCGUAAACUUCUAUCAACAGGGACGAAAGAAAUGGUGGUACACGAAUAAGACGCCCCGGCUAACUACGUGCCAGCCGCCGCGGUAAUACGUAGGGGGCAAGCGUUAUCCGGAAUUACUGGGUGUAAAGGGAGAGUAGGAGGAAUGGUAAGUCAGAUGUGAAAGCCUUGGGCUUAACCCGAGGAUUGCAUUUGGAACUGUCAAGCUAGAGUACAGGAGAGGAAGGCGGAAUUCGUAGUGUAGCGGUGAAAUGCGUAGAUAUCAGGAAGAACACCAGUGGCGAAGGCGGCUUUCUGGACUGAAACUGACGCUGAGGCACGAAAGCGUGGGGAGCGAACAGGAUUAGAUACCCUGGUAGUC